AUGGUGGGCCCGCAAAGGAAAAAGCCCGGGCUCCCCAUAGCGAGAUCUUUGCUUAGCACUUUUAUCGCCGAUCCUCCGCCUUCCUCUCAUCCUCAGGCUCAUCGAGGUAGAGGAAAAGGCCGGGGAAGAGGUGCACGUGGAGCAAAUGCUAAGAGAAACCCGGUUCGGCCAGUGUCUCACACCCCUGUGGUGGAGGAAGAGUGGUUGUCGUCGGAGGCUUCUGACGAGGAGGCCCCGACGUCUGACAAGGAGGCCUCGACCUCUGACGAGGAGCAUGCUGGUUUCAUCCAAGUUGAGGAGGGUCGGUCCGUGUACCUACGUGGUUCCUCAAGGCUCCCGGAACGAGGGCUUCCUGUGGAGCAGAGGCCAUGUAUUGCUCCAUGUGGAGAAAUCGGUUGGAAGAAAGCUGGAGCUAGCACGGGAAAGUACCGACACGUGAACGACGUCCUUGGGAGCCUCAUUAAGGAGCAUUACCCUGGCAUGGUUACUUUGCCUGGGGAGGGCAAAGUUCCGGAGCCAGCAUGUACCUGGGACCACUACAAAGCCUAUGAGGAUCUUGGUGUAGCCAACAACAUCGAGUUUCACAACAAAGCCGAGCGGGUCUUUGCCGAACUUUGGGAUUUCUAUAGAUGCGAGGAUGGAAAGUUGGAGGAGGCACGAGCAGUUGUCAACAAACAUUGCCCGAAGCUUGUGCAUAAUCUGAUGCAUGAGGCGCGCCCUUUAGCCGUCCGCAAAUAUAUGGCAACUCAAGGCUAUAAGAGUCUUGAUAAGAAAGCUGGUAGGAGACUCCGUCUUGAGAAGGACAAGUACAUGCAGGUUACUCCGAGAUGGUGCGUCGAUAAGGGGGAGUGUUGGGAGCGGAUCGUGGACUAUUGGUGUUCCAAAGAGUACAGGGCGAAAAAGGCGUCUCACCAUAAUGCUCCAGUGCCCAACCUUUUUGUCUCGUAUGCUUUGGCCCAUAAGGCACCGUACAGAACAGCCACGCCUUACGAUGAGAAUGACACAGCGUCGGCGUACUCCAGCAAGACCGCCUACGAUCGGAUGGAGAAAUUUAAAGGGGUGGCAAAAGAGUUGAAAGGGCCCGAGUAUGAUGUGACAACAGAGCCUCUUGACCACGCUUUGGUCAUGAUCUCUGGAGAAGGCAGGAAACAUGGCAAGGAAGCAAUUGCAGGAGGCAUGUUCCCUAGCUCCUCCCGUAGCUCUCUCCUUGAAUACAAAGCUCGGUUACGUAUCUCAAAAUCUUCUACACAUAAACGCUCGACUCCAGCUAUGGUUGAGAUGGAGAUGCAAUUGCCAUGCCAUAUUUUGCAGGCCCGACUGGCGGAGGAGAGGCGAGUGGCGGUAGAGGAGAGGGCGGAGGAGAGGCGAGUGGCGGCGGAGGAGAGGGCGGAGGAGAGGCGACUGGCUGAUGAGAGGAUGCAGCAAGCGGUGCAGCAGGCGGUGUUGGCACAAACUAGUCAAUGCUUUGCAAUGUUUGCGAUGCCUCAAUCAGGCCAUGGAUCUAAUGCUGAUGGAUCUUCACAUGCACGAGGCCCAAGCGACAACAACCUUGGUGGUUCUCCGAAUGUUUGA
RNAcentral lists this ribosomal RNA (1572 nucleotides) under Triticum aestivum (bread wheat). Its description in RNAcentral is "partial small subunit ribosomal RNA". The record is from RNAcentral. Lineage: Eukaryota; Viridiplantae; Streptophyta; Magnoliopsida; Poales; Poaceae.